UAGGAGGGACCGCAUGAACGAAGUUCAUACUCGUAAUUGGUCCCGACGACCUGCCCUGCUCUCAUAAGCGAGAGGGGCGAUACAUAA
This 87-nucleotide small RNA is filed under the name uncultured Coprococcus sp. RNAcentral's name for it is "GA-cis RNA". It matches the Rfam family "GA-cis RNA". The record is from RNAcentral. Lineage: Bacteria; Bacillati; Bacillota; Clostridia; Lachnospirales; Lachnospiraceae.